Molecule: ribosomal RNA, 480 nt
Filed under: Alternaria tenuissima
Lineage: Eukaryota; Fungi; Ascomycota; Dothideomycetes; Pleosporales; Pleosporaceae
Description: eukaryotic LSU rRNA
Rfam family: 5.8S ribosomal RNA (bases 130-283)
Source: RNAcentral
ACAGCCUUGCUGAAUUAUUCACCCUUGUCUUUUGCGUACUUCUUGUUUCCUUGGUGGGUUCGCCCACCACUAGGACAAACAUAAACCUUUUGUAAUUGCAAUCAGCGUCAGUAACAAAUUAAUAAUUACAACUUUCAACAACGGAUCUCUUGGUUCUGGCAUCGAUGAAGAACGCAGCGAAAUGCGAUAAGUAGUGUGAAUUGCAGAAUUCAGUGAAUCAUCGAAUCUUUGAACGCACAUUGCGCCCUUUGGUAUUCCAAAGGGCAUGCCUGUUCGAGCGUCAUUUGUACCCUCAAGCUUUGCUUGGUGUUGGGCGUCUUGUCUCUAGCUUUGCUGGAGACUCGCCUUAAAGUAAUUGGCAGCCGGCCUACUGGUUUCGGAGCGCAGCACAAGUCGCACUCUCUAUCAGCAAAGGUCUAGCAUCCAUUAAGCCUUUUUUUCAACUUUUGACCUCGGAUCAGGUAGGGAUACCCGCUGAAC